CACCGCGGUUAUACGAGAGGCCCAAGUCGACAGAGCUCGGUGUAAAGAGUGUUUAAUAGUACAUAAACUAAGGCCGAACAUCUUCAAGGCUGUCAUACGCACCCGAAGGAAGGAAGCCCCCAUACGAAAGUAGCCUUAAUGGACUAUGAACCCACGAAAGCUAGGGAA
Molecule: ribosomal RNA, 168 nt
Filed under: Oxymetopon compressus
Lineage: Eukaryota; Metazoa; Chordata; Actinopteri; Gobiiformes; Gobiidae
Description: partial 12S rRNA
Source: RNAcentral